AAUUAUUUUGGACUUUGAGAUGUAAACAAUCUCCCCGUCUUUUAUUUCUCUAAAUCCCUUCACAUCUGCGCAUUUCUCACAUUCUAUAAUAUCCUUUGGAACCAACUUCGAUUUACUGUGCUUCUGUCAGACUGCGUAGUGGCCGGGGUGGAUUGUGUUGUGCUGUGUUCGCGAUGCGUGAUUUGGCCACUAAAAUGGCUGAAUUAAAAUUUGAGGCUCCAUUAGCGCAAUUCGAAGAAACCGAUGAAUGGGGUUCGACGGAAUUUCAAACAGCAAAUUUCAAAAACGAAGAAAAUCUCAAUAAUAUAAACAAAAAAAAGCACGACAUUAACGAUGUUUUGAACGACUUUAAGGAAGACAUACUCAAUAAUUCUAUACCCCAAAAAGUGCCCGCUAAGACACUUAUUCUGAAAAACGGCGAGACCCAAUCGGUGGCUGAUAAUUUUACCGAAACUUUUUCUGGAUCUUUGGAGGAUUUAGUAAAUACUUUCGAUGAAAAAAUCACGAAAUGUUUCGGAAAUUACGAGGAAUCUGUAGAAAAAUUGGCACCUGUUCAAAUUAGGUCCCAAGAAGAAAUUAUGAAUGAAUGCCAAAUGUGGUGGACGUUGACGGGAAACUUCGGUAACAUUUUGCCUAUCGAUUGGUCGAAAACGUACGCUAGGAAACUACAAAUCAAUGCUCUGCAUUUGGAUCAGCAGGAACCUCAAACACCCGAAGACGACCUCGAUUUGAGUUCUGAAGAUGAAGCGGUGGCUAGUGAUCUAGAUAUGCACGCUCUAAUUCUUGGUGGAAUGAACCAAGAAGCAGACGAACCCUUAAAAACCGCCGAAGAAGUAAUAAGAGAAAUCGACGAUAUGAUGCAAGACGAUUUGAGCUCUAUUGAUGGAAAUCCCGAUGGUAGAGACGGCCAAAUAGAAAAUAAUGAGGUGUUAGAAAAAGCGAAGGAAGUACUAAGUUCACCAUUAUAUGAAGACAAAUUACGCGAUUUGAGUUUGAGCCAAUUGAACGAACUGUUUCUCGAAUUAGAAGUAUUGAUAAGAGAAUUUUCCGAAACGUUGAUAUCCGAAUUGGCGCUUAGAGAUGAAUUGGAGUACGAGAAAGAGUUGAAGAAUACGUUCAUUUCUCUGUUGUUAGCAGUUCAAAAUAGACGAAGACAGUACCAUGUCGAAAAGAAGAGAUCGGCCAAAAAUUCUUCCACGAAACUUCAAAACGGCAUUGAUCCGAAGUAUUUAACUACUGUAAUUCCUUACCAUAUAAGCGACGGACCACCGGAUAACCAAAGUUUACAAGUCCUCAUUAAAAUAUUGAAAGCUAUAAACGAAGAUAGUCCGACAGUACCGACUUUAUUGACGGAUUAUAUAUUGAAAGUAAUAUGUCCGACAUAGAGGACGUUUUAGUUAAUAGCCGUUCGUUAUUUAGUGAAGAAGCUUUCGAUUGAUGCAGCAGCACAUUAUUUCUACGGUCUCUCUGUCUCUAUUUUACUCAUUGAUAUAUUAAAUAUUUAUUUGUGUUGUAAAUAUUUGAACUCGGAACGUUCUAGUCUAAAGUCUUGCGAGUUGAUUAAAUAAUUUUAAGAUUUUAUUGUACCUUUGAUUGUCUCUAUGCACACAAAAGAAUAAUUUCUAGUGCAAUAUAUCAUAAGUGUAUAUUUUGUUAGUUUUUAAGAAAAUCGAUGGUGAUUGACAGUUAUUUAUUUGACAUUUGGUGGAGUUGACUAAAUUUUCAAAAAAAAAAUGGUGAUUUUAUUAUACAGUGACUAUAUCUCAAAAUAUUAAAUCGUUUUUAAUUAAAAAAUUGAUUGGGAUGAAUUGGGAUGACACACGUAGUUUACCUACACACUAACUAUUCGCUAACACUUAUCAACUAAUUUAUUUGAAUAAACUUUAUAAAAUUACAAACUUUUACAUCCUUGUUUAUCUUAUUUCUGGUAAAAAAUUAGUAAAAGAUAGAUGAAACAUGCAAUCACAGAAGUAGUGUAUGGAAAGUAUGGAAAAGCACCAGGAUACCAUAGAGCAACUUCAGAAAUGAUUAAAAAUAUGGUGAAAAAAAGGAAAAAACGUGACGUUUCAUAUUUUCAAUAAAGUUAUAGAAGAUGAAGCACUCAAACUGGCAGAAGGAAUUAGUAGUAACAAAAUUCAAAAAGGUUGAUACAAAGUACUGCAAUAGCUACCGAGGAAUAACAUUAAUUAGUACAGCGAUGAAAAUGAUGGAAAAUAUUAAAGAAAAGAUAUAGAUUAACAGUAGGAGACACACUUGGAGAAUCUCAGAAUGGAUUAUCGAAUGGGAAGAAGCACCUAAGACGUAUUCACACGUAUUCAAUAUAAAACAGAUGACAGAUAAAGCAAAGCAAGAAAAGAAGAAAUUGUAAGUGUCCUUCUUGAUUUAGAAAAAGCCUUUGAUAGAGUACCUAGAGAGAAAAUAUGAAAGAUAGUGGUCGAAAGAAGAGUUUAUAACAAUGCUGCAAUAUGCAUAGGCAUAGGAGCAUAACGUAUAUAACUUAAAAGUUAUGGCCAGAUUAAUAAGUAAAACACGACGGACCAAUUUUUCAUCUUAUAAACAAUACAGAGUAAUAAUUUUUGCUGUUAUCACCAAAAAUAUAUUGACAUGAGUCAAAUUGACUACCUAACCUAACUUAGUCCUCCAUCCCUUCUAAAAUUGUUAAUUCGAAAUAUUUUGUGUCAUAACAACGACUAGAAUAGGUUUACAUAAAAAAUGUAUAGGACGCUUUUUGUAGAGCCCUUUACGAGGUUCAUGUUUGUUUGAAACUUUUUUCUCUGAAAUUAUUAAUUAGUAAGAUUGUUAUAUCUUUGUAAGGGGCCAUGGAACGAAUGAAACGGUAAAAAUCCCUUCAGGAAUUAAUCUUUAAUCAUAAACUCUUCCGAUUGAUUCAAUAAAUCAAUAAAUUUGAUAAUUUCUAAUAAUUUACUUGCAGCUUUUGAAUCAUAAUAAAAACACAAAUUUUUUUAUCCGAUUUGUUCGAAAUUUAUAAUUAUUUACCACACGUGAAUUAAAUGUUUGCUCUCAUAUAUUCAAUAACAUUAAUAAAAAUAUUACGUGUGUAAUAAAACAAGGUAUAUAGUAAAGAAGUAAUCAAAUUUAUCUUCUAAAAAUAGUGUAAUUGUUUUGGCUCAUCUUUUUGACUAUUUUCAAAAAAAAAAAAAAAACAAAAAUUGUAUACAAGAUACAUUUCUGUCAAUACCAUCAUUUGUAUCAUACAUACAAAUAUUUUAAUUUUAGAUAUAAGGUUAUAUUAGCAAUGAAAUGACAGUUUUUUGACUAAACUUUUACAAUGCUCAGUUUUGUGAUAUAUUUUUUUUAGUUGUAAAUAAGCAAUAUUUUAUUUUUCUAUGUAAUUCUGUACCAUAAAAUACCACAACUUAAUGAUACAUAUAAUAAUUUUAUUUAUGUAAUUGACAGGGCAUCAAUAUUAAAUGUUAUUUUUAUUCUUUUUCCCGAUAUAUAAACUAAUUUUAAAGUCUGACAAUUUUGUUGGAUCCUCAUUUUUUACUAUUUUUCAUUAUUUUUGAUUUAUUUUUAUACUUAUAAUUAAUUUUAUUUGUUAGAUGAAGAUUUUUAUUUAAUAAGUUCCCCAUAAUAAGUAACUUUUUCUAAGAUUUUAUAUUUCCCAGACAAAAUGAAAAAAUAAGAAAAUUGUAUUCAGUAAAAGCUGCUUUAUUCGCGGGGUAUAUGUUCCAUAACUAACCAUGAAUACGAAUAAUUUAUAUGGGAUUAUAGGGGGUACGUUCCCUAUUGAUAAAAUAAUAAAAAACAAACAUAAAAAAACAGUUUAAUUGAAGUUUUUGAACAUUUUUAUUAAUUGUAUUAGCCUUCGCUAAUAGUUUGAAGAUUUUUGUAAUUUUCUCUUAUUGGGCAUUUUUAAAAACCCCACUUCAAUUCAGUUUGAUACACAGCAGUCGCGUAAGUAAUUAUCCUCUUGAAAAUAAGACUUUGAUCCAUAUACAGAUGUUCAUAAAGAAAUCGCAAACCUCAUUUGCCAUUCUUGAACCUUCACCAAAAUUUUUCAAAUUAAAUGUCACGUUUCAAGUGCUCGUUGAGGCUUCUUCUUCAACGAGCUGUGGAUUUAACAUUCCCUCCAAUUGGUUUCAGUCAAAUCUUUAUCUUAAACUGUAAAGAUUGACUAUCGCAUUGACCUUAAAAAAGAAAUUUACAAAAUGGCGUCGACAUGAAAUACCAAUUUUUUGUCCCUUUUUUACCUUUUAGAAUUUUUCAAAAAUACUCCAAAUUUUUGUUUGAGAAACAAUUCCAGUAGAAUAGUUUGUUCCACUCGGCCAGCUUGUACGGUAUGUCACAAAAUCUAUUUUAUCUGACAUAUUCUUGAGGGUCUAAGCUUUGAAAAUAUGCAAAAUAAUCAAUUUCUUCAAAUUUCUAGAUCAGCAUAUCACCCUUAACAACAUACUUUAAGCAAAGUUGUGUUAAGAUCUAUUUUAAUUUUUUUAUUAGUCCAUUUGACGGCAUUUACAAAGAAUAUUGGGUUGUAUACCUCUUGGAAUCCUUUUAUUAAUAUGUCGCGUUAAAAAAAAUUUUCUUAGCAUAAUUUAAAAAAUGAAAUAAACUAUUCAAAAAUAAUAUUUUUAUUAAAAUAUACUUUAAUCGAAAAACUGUCGUUGAAAACCAAUUUUUAUUCGAAAAGUGCGUGAGUUUUCACUCGGAUUGAUAUUUUUGUAAGUGAGAAAAUUUUCUCUGAUAUAUAUGGGAAAAUGAAAAUUGUCGAGUCCUAGUUGUAAUAAAAGAAUCGGAAUAAAAUUAUUGUUUCGAUUCUAAUUAACUAAAAAAAAAAUAAUAAUAAUAAAAAAAUUUAAUAUUAAGAAUACAAAGCUGCAUUCUUCGUUCUUGCCAUAUUGUUUAUGAAUAUUAUUUUUUUGUAAAUUAAUUAUUUUAAAUAAAUAACAAAAAUGUUCGACUUGAUGUUACACCUCUUUCAAAAGAGCAGCCUAUAUAUGUAGAAGAUCUCAUUUCAGUAAAUCUGUUCUAUCUUUAA
This is an RNA transcript of Diorhabda carinulata, 4999 nucleotides long. It is a transcript of the gene named fasciculation and elongation protein zeta-2, with no coding region annotated. The transcript has 8 exons. The record is from RefSeq and is a predicted model, not a curated record. NCBI's taxonomy places the organism in Eukaryota, Metazoa, Arthropoda, Insecta, Coleoptera, Chrysomelidae.